RNAcentral lists this ribosomal RNA (494 nucleotides) under uncultured bacterium. RNAcentral's name for it is "bacterial SSU rRNA". It matches the Rfam family "Bacterial small subunit ribosomal RNA", at positions 903 to 1397 of the family's 1533-position model. The record is from RNAcentral.
AAAGGAAUAGACGGGGGCCCGCACAAGCGGUGGAGCAUGUUGCUUAAUUCGAGGCAACGCGAAGAACCUUACCCGGGUUUGACAUGUAAAUGCCCGGCUGUGAAAGCAGCCUUUCCUUCGGGACUUUUACACAGAUGCUGCAUGGCUGUCGUCAGCUCGUGCCGUGAGGUGUUCGGUUAAGUCCGGCAACGAGCGCAACCCGUGCUGUCAGUUACCAUCAGGUGAUGCUGGGGACUCUGGCAGGACUGCCCGUGUCAAGCGGGAGGAAGGCGCGGAUGACGUCAAGUCCGUAUGGCUCUUACAUCCGGGGCUGCAAACGUGCUACAAUGGUCGGUACAAUGGGAUGCUCUCCUGCGAAGGUUUGCCAAUCUCCAAAGCCGGCCCCAGUUCGGAUCGCAGUCUGCAACUCGACUGCGUGAAGUCGGAAUCGCUAGUAAAGGGAUAUCAGCAACGGUCCCUUGAAUACGUUCCCGGGCCUUGUACACACCGCCCGU